RNAcentral lists this unclassified non-coding RNA (205 nucleotides) under uncultured Microbotryomycetes. RNAcentral describes it as "sequence contains ITS2". Lineage: Eukaryota; Fungi; Basidiomycota; Microbotryomycetes. The record is from RNAcentral.
ACUCUUCAACCCACGAGUUUCUAGUGAACUGUUGUGGUGUUUGGAUUUUGAGCGUUGCUAGUCUGACUAGCUCGUUCGUAAUACAUUAGCAUCUCUAAUUCGAAUUCGGAUUGACUCAGUGUAAUAGACUAUUCGCUGAGGACACUUUUAUUAGUGGCCGGACUAGAAACCAGUAGAAGCUUCCAACUAUUGUAGUCAUUUCUAU